GAUUCAAUCCAAAACUCCGCUCAUCCUCCAUCUCUCCGUUAAUGAAGUCGAACCAUCGCAAUCGCUAAGAAUCCAUAAAAAAAGUCAACCAUCAUCCCCACAACACUACUGAUUGAUUCAUCCAAUAUUGAUUCCGCUACAGAACUAGCGGUGAACGUGAGCGAGAGAGAGAAGGAGAAUGAAAAUUAGGGUUUUGUCUCUUUGGUUCUUUCGAUUAAUAGAGAAAGAAUAUUGUGCAUACUUGAAAU
RNAcentral lists this long non-coding RNA (248 nucleotides) under Capsella grandiflora. Its description in RNAcentral is "long non-coding RNA (CGRA_LNC000755)". The record is from RNAcentral. Lineage: Eukaryota; Viridiplantae; Streptophyta; Magnoliopsida; Brassicales; Brassicaceae.